AGGAGAAAGAGAUGGAGAUAGACACCAGCGCUAGUGAACAUCCCGUAGAUAAGAAGGAAUGAGCAGCAGGAGGAGGGACAAUCAACCAGCCAACUGUGAAGAAAGAAAGGGCCACCACAUCAGUACUUGUCCCCGCAUGCCCUCUUAAACUGGGGGACACAAGAAUGAGACAUAACUCAUCCCCCUGUUUUACAUUACUUUUUAAUUACUUUUUGAAUCUUUAUUAUAAUGAUGUAAUCUGUCAUUAGUGAAAUCCAUCAUCAAUCAAUCUUUAUUACGGAAUCGGUCAUUCAUUAAAUGAUUCAUCGAUCAAAUUCGAAUAUGUAUGUAAAAAAAAAAAGAAACGUGGUAGAGGACUGUAACAUAUCAAACUGAUGAGAUACCUGGCAGUCUGUUAGAUCUAAAUACUACCACUACUACUACUUCCAUUCCCAUAUUGGCCAUAUAGUGCCAGAGGACUAAACCUUCUGUUGGAAAAGAGACUAACCUUCCAUUCUAGAGGCUUAUAUUGAGAAUAUGAAUAAUAUCCUAAAUAUAAUAUCUCUGUUCCAUUCCAUCUAGAACAUUGUGGGAGCGUUCCAUCUAACCUAUCAUUCCAUCUAGAACAUUGUGGGAACGUUCCAUCUAACCUUACAUUCCAUCUAGAACAUUGUGGAAGCGUUCCAUCUAACCUUAAAUUCCAUCUAGAGUCUAGAACAUUGUGGGAGCAUGGGACUGUAAAAAACAUCAGAGCGCCACAUUCACCAACCCAAAAUAGCUCCACCAGCUACAUUGGGGGUUGGGGUUGGGGGGUGGUGGAGGGGGGUUAGUGUUCCGUAUACCACCACCAUCCUCUCUUUCUAACAAGCACCGUAGAACCGACACAGCACCAUGUCUGUCUGUCUGUCGGUCUGUCACUAGCUUUGACAUUCUGACAUUCAGCAGUGGAAAACAAGAGGAACAUGACAUCUUCCAGCAUUACUAUGCUUCUGUUGAAUGCUGCGUGUUUGACUGACAUGGUCUUUGAAAAGAUCUUUGACAUAGAGGAGGCAGGAGCACAUGGCAACAUCAUGGACGCGCACACACACACACACACGAGUACAUCACAGCAUUAUACCAAGUUCAGAGUGUCUGCCAUAUCUUCUUGUCACACAUUGCUUGCUUUUUCAGUUCCGAUGGCUAAUCACGAUUAGGGUUGCAAAGGUAGGGUAUAUUACUGGAAACUUUCUAUGUUUACCAGUAAACUACCAGAAUGUUGGUAUAUUUCAAGGAUUUUAUGUAAUCUAUCACAAGACAUCUAGUGCCCCUUUCUAGUGCCCCUUUGUAGUGCCCCUUUCUAGUGCCCCUUUGUAGUGCCCCUUUCUAGUGCCCCUUUGUAGUGCCCCUUUCUAGUGACCGUACUUUAGAUUUUUACAGAUGUCUAAUUAUCUCUGGCCUUAUCACAUGUAAAAUAUAUGACAUAAUUAAAUAAGGUGUAAAACAUUAUUCUAAAUAUAAACCACAAACUUAGUGAAUACCAUUGGUGUUUAAUAUGAGUUUCUUUUUGAAACACUGUUAUUUUUUAACUUUGUCAACAUGUAUAUGGUGUCAAUGUUUUGCCGUUAAUCUGGUGGCAGUUGUGAGGAAAAGUCAAUAGUUGGAAGAAUUGCAGAGUUAAUUGAAAAUAAUGCCAUUGUUGAUUAGAUGCUAUUUUCAUUAAUUAGGCUAUUUUCUCUUGAACCAUAUCAUCUAUCUACUAGAAAUUAAUGGACAAUAUGGACACAGAUAUACAAAUUAAUGGUAUAUAUGAAUAUAUAUGUAUUUUAAAGUUAUUCAAGUAUAAAGUACCAAAGUUACGAUAAAUUGCCAUACAUUUUCUGUUAAUUACCAAAAUUACUGAAGAUUCCGAUAACUUUGGUAAAUGACCGGUAGCUUUGCAACCCUAGUCACAAUGUUAGCUACUAAUACCUUGCUACACACACACACACACACACACACACACACACACACACACACACACACACACACACACAGAGACAGACACAUACACACACUUUAAAACAACUUCAUCUCCAUCACUCAGCCCUAGCAGCUUUGCUUUCAUCAGUGAGAUAAUGCUUGAUCACGUCUGAUGUUAACAUACACACACACACACUGAGAGAGAGAGACACACACACACACACACACAAGCUCUGACCAUGUCUGAUGUUCAGAGAGCAGCAUCUGUAUCUGCAGACACAGACUGUGUCCCAAAUGGCACCCUAUUCCCUAUAUAGUGCAGUACUUUUCACUAGAGCCAUAUGAGCCCUGGUCAAAAGUAGUGCACUAUAUAGGGAAUAGGGUGCCACUUCAGACGCAGACAAACUCAUUAAACAGGAAAGAGCUCCUUAUCAGCACCAACAAGCACUUUGAACUACAGGAUGUCUGGUGUAUUUUAAUCUUUCAACAGAUUGAUUAUGGUUCCUUCCUCUGUCGUUUCUUUCCGAUGCAUGCCAGAAUCGCUUAGAACUUCACAAACAUGGGUUGUGUCCUGAAUGGCACCGUAUUCCCUAAAUAGUUAAUUAUAUGGGCCCUGGUCAAAAGUGGUGCACUAUAUAGGGAAUAGGGUGCCAUUUGGGAUGCAGCCAUAAAACAGUCAUCCAUUUUAAUAGUCCUCUCUCUCUCUCUCUGUCUUUUUUCUACUUAGGUUCUUUUAACCAGUUUGUCAAUAAUUGUAUCAAAUGAGUUUGCCUUAUUUCACAUUGUCAAACGUCUUCUUCAUUAUCUGUUUCAACAGAUACUUGGUUGUGUAUCGCUUGCAGAUUAUUUGUAAUUUUGAGUAUUUACCUACUGUAACGUGAUGGCUGAUAUGUUUUGUUCUAUUGAUCACUCUCUGUUACGCUCUGGGUUUCGGAAAAUUUAGCGAAAAGCAUUUGAAUUUGUUUUCCAAUAUUGUUAUCAAUUAUGCAUUCACUAAUUAUUCCUUUCAGUGGUGCCAUGCUAUACAGUAAAUCCAAUGAAUAACAGUAAAGUACAGUACUAUGAAACUAUGAAUUACCAUAUGAAUUGGAGUACAGUACUAUUAAAUGAAAAUGAUGCCUUCAUAAUUUGGUGUUUUGCUUUGCUUAACAAUAAUGAGAUUAACUAAUAAAGUUUAAAGGGGGAUGGUCA
Long non-coding RNA from Coregonus clupeaformis (lake whitefish), 3108 nucleotides. RefSeq lists it as uncharacterized. The record is from RefSeq and is a predicted model, not a curated record. The transcript has 2 exons. Lineage: Eukaryota; Metazoa; Chordata; Actinopteri; Salmoniformes; Salmonidae.